CGGGGGCUGACGUCACCGCCGGGAGGAGGGGCGGCCCGUGCCGAGGCGACUGGAGAGCGGGAUGCUCGGGCCUCGCUGGCGCAGGCGCUCCCUCGCCGCCGGGCCGGCGCAGCGCGGCGGCGACCGGAUUCAGCCCGCGUGAGCUGAGCGCGGCAAUUCUUAAUUUAGCGGAGGGCGGAAGGUAUCUUUAGACCUUAGCGCGUCCAUCUCUGGGUUCAUUCGUCAGAACCGCCCGCACGCCGUCCGCGCUUUCCUCUGAUGAACCAGACAAAGGCAAGAAAGGGGGAAACAGGCUUGAACAACUACGCACUUGCAGAGGACAAAACUGCAGCUGACUUUCUUUUAUCGGAGCCUGGAAAUUACAGCCUUAUGUGUAUAACCGAACUUUGCUGAAGCACUGAACACUGAUUAAUGCAAUUAAAUGAAUACAGGAAAUUUGGUAAAGUUGCUGCUGCUGCUGCUAAGUCACUUCAGUCGUGUCCGACUCUGUGCAACUCCAGAGAUGGCAGCCCACCAGGCUCCCCCGUCCCUGGGAUUCUCCAGGCAAGAGUACUGGAGUGGGUUGCCAUUUCCUUCUCCAAUGCAUGAAAGUGAAAAGUGAAAGUGAAGUUGCUCAGUCGUGUCCGACUCCUAGCGACACCAUGGACUGCAGCCCACCAGGCUCCCCCGUCCCUGGGAUUUUCCAGGCAAGAGUACUGGAGUGAGUUGUUGGUAAAGUUACAUCACAGUAUAAAUAAAACACUUACAUUAGUGAAGUCUUUGUACAGUUGAUCAAGACGUAUAUGGCACAAGUAGGAAACUAAUAUGUAUAUUCUAAGCACUUUAAGGGAGGAUUGUAACACAUUUACAAUCAGGAAUAGCAAGUACUUUAUUCAUCUUACCAUUUUAAACAGACUGAUAUUGAAGUUUGUGAAAAUGCCAUCUCUCUAACAUCUAUGAAAAUCCAUAACAGUAGCUCACGAGCUCUGUUCGGCAGAGUAAUAACAGUUUCAAUUACUUGCAUUUAAAUGUCAAAUGUCAAGUCUGAACAGUGAAACUGUUAAAAAAUACAUAUCAUAAGCAUUUCUUUCUUAUCAUUGUUAUGAUGUAUGCAAAUAUACCACAGCAAUUCUCUUUAUAGAGCUAACACUAUUUCUUCCUCCUGAUUAAUAACAUUUUUCAGAGUGAAAGAUGCUGAAAUAAACUCUAUACUUAAAUGCAUUUUUUUUUUCUGGGAUUGGUACAAAGACGAAUUUCAGAUGUGGUGGUGGAUUUGUUUAUUGAUUUGGCAUUUCUUUUUCUAAGCAUAUAAAUAAGUUGAAAAGUGUUCAUUUUGUUGAUCUUGGGAGAGGAAACUUAAGAUUAUGAAAACCAUUCAGCCUACAAACAAAUUUCCUGAAGUGACACCCAUUAUGUCAUAGAAUUGACAUGUCUCAUGGCUCAAAAAAUAAUUAUGUGAAAAGAAAUCAUAUGAAUAUCUUACUUCAUUUAGGCUAGACCAAAGUUCUAUUAGGCACAAGGAACUUGUGCUGAGGCCAGUUUCACUACCAAUAGAACUACUUAAAUUUGUAUAUUCUGAGCUAAAAAAUGAAGAUACUUCAUUGUUUCAAUAUCAUUAAAAGGCAUAGAAAUGGAAAGAGGUAUGAAAUAGUUGGAAUUUCUGUUCCUUUUUUGUUACUAAUUGUGAAUUUUAGGGUUUCUUAUUGUCACUAAAAGUUUUUAGAAAUUAAGAGCAGAUAAUAUAUGUGGAAUUCUCCAGGCAAAUUAUCACAUUGAUAUGAAUUACUUGUGUGAAUAACAAUGUAAUACAUUCUAAGAAUAUACAUAGUACUAUCAGCUACUUUCUCAAAGAAUAGUAUAUGGCCUUUGAUCAUGAUUGCUACUAAUGGGUUGGACUUGGCAACUUGUAAAUGAACAUUUGUAGAUUGUUAAUGUCCAUAAAACUAUGCCCAAGGACAGAAUAUUUAAUUUUAAGCCUAUCACUAGAUCAUUAGAUUCUCAAACAAAUAGCUUUUAUUACACUUUUAUUCUGAAAAGUGCUACUUCUUCAUUUCUCUAUUUCCUAAUUCAUCUUCUUGUCCUGACUGCUUGGGAAGUUAUGUUAUAAUACCACAUGUAACAUUCUUUUUACUAUAGCUUUGAUUAUAAUUGUAAUUCUGUAAGCUGAGAUUUAUGAACAGUUAUCACUAUACUCUUCAGGAUGAAAAGAUGAAUUAACAAAUGCAUUUUUAAAAGUCAUCAAUAAAAGUUCUAUAAUUGUGAAGUUAAAUUAAAUAUAGUUAAUGACAUUAUACAACUUUUUCUUAUUAUAAAAGAAAGCCCUUGAGCAUCUAUAGUUUUUUUAGCUGAGAUAUUGACUAGUUCUAAAAAAGUCCCUGUUAGUUAUAGAAAGUUUCUAUUGUUAAAGUGUUGUAAGAAUUUGCUGGAAACAUUUUUGUAUGUCAAUGCCAGAUUGACUGAUUAUUUCAAAAAUGGGAUAGGAAUGGUCAAUUCAUUUAGACAUUUAUUCUGAGAUAUAUGCUUUGAUUUUCUGAAGUUCUUAAGGCAUUUUUUGUUUGGUUUUAUUUUUUAACUUUACUAUACUUAAAUAAAUAAGUAAACACAAAUAUAUAUGCAUAUGAUAUAGCCAACAAAUUCAUUUUUCUGAAAUUAACAAUGUCGGUUUCUGUCAUAGAUCAACAUGAAUCAGCCAUAGGUGUACAUUGGUCUUUCUGUGCAUUCCCAUGAAAGAGAAGAUAAAUUAAAACAAACGUGAAUACCAGUGGAAAGUAUGUGUUUCCUUCUCAGGAGAGUUUUUCUGCUCAGGUAACCUAUCUCUCACACAAAACUUCACAAGAGAUGCAAUUUGAUUUGUAUCAAAAGACCUUCAUUUACAUGUUUAAAGUAACUCACCAUACUGUUCA
Capra hircus (goat) is the source of this 2882-nucleotide long non-coding RNA. Lineage: Eukaryota; Metazoa; Chordata; Mammalia; Artiodactyla; Bovidae. The record is from Ensembl.